UCCCUGGUGGCUCAGACGGUAAAGCAUCUGCCUACAAUGCAGGAGACCCAGGUUCAAUCCCUGGGUCGGGAC
RNAcentral lists this transfer RNA (72 nucleotides) under Bos taurus (domestic cattle). It matches the Rfam family "tRNA". Rfam says of the family: Transfer RNA (tRNA) molecules are approximately 80 nucleotides in length. Their secondary structure includes four short double-helical elements and three loops (D, anti-codon, and T loops). RNAcentral also lists the same sequence under 4 other names. Lineage: Eukaryota; Metazoa; Chordata; Mammalia; Artiodactyla; Bovidae. The record is from Rfam by way of RNAcentral.